Molecule: ribosomal RNA, 240 nt
Filed under: uncultured bacterium
Lineage: Bacteria
Description: partial 16S ribosomal RNA
Rfam family: Bacterial small subunit ribosomal RNA
Source: RNAcentral
GCAAGUCGAACGAGAACGUCCCUUCGGGGGCUAGUAAAGUGGCGAACGGGUGAGUAACGCGUAAGUAUCUACCUCGUGGUGGAGGAUACCUCGGAGAAAUUUGGGUUAAUCCUGCAUAUACUUUUCGAAGGAAAGGCGGCCUCUUGCUGCCGCCAUGAGAUGAGCUUGCGUCUUAUUAGUUUGUUGGUGGGGUAAUGGCCUACCAAGGCGAUGAUGAGUAGCCGGCCUGAGAGGGUGAAC